UAGGGAAUCUUCCGCAAUGGACGCAAGUCUGACGGAGCAACGCCGCGUGAGUGAAGAAGGAUUUCGGUUCGUAAAACUCUGUUGUUAGAGAAGAACAGCGCAUAGAGUAACUGUUAUGCGUGUGACGGUAUCUAACCAGAAAGCCACGGCUAACUACGUGCCAGCAGCCGCGGUAAUACGUAGGUGGCAAGCGUUGUCCGGAUUUAUUGGGCGUAAAGCGAGCGCAGGCGGUCAAUUAAGUCUGAUGUGAAAGCCCCCGGCUCAACCGGGGAGGGUCAUUGGAAACUGGAUGACUUGAGUGCAGAAGAGGAGGGUGGAAUUCCAGGUGUAGCGGUGAAAUGCGUAGAUAUAUGGAGGAACACCAGUGGCGAAGGCGACUCUCUGGUCUGUAACUGACGCUGAGGUUCGAAAGCGUGGGUAGCAAACAGG
RNAcentral lists this ribosomal RNA (429 nucleotides) under Bacteroidota bacterium. RNAcentral's name for it is "Bacteroidetes bacterium partial 16S ribosomal RNA". It matches the Rfam family "Bacterial small subunit ribosomal RNA", at positions 355 to 776 of the family's 1533-position model. The record is from RNAcentral. Lineage: Bacteria; Pseudomonadati; Bacteroidota.